AAAGCGCGCGUAGGUGGUUUGUUAAGUUGAAUGUGAAAUCCCCGGGCUCAACCUGGGAACUGCAUCCAAAACUGGCAAGCUAGAGUAGGGCAGAGGGUGGUGGAAUUUCCUGUGUAGCGGUGAAAUGCGUAGAUAUAGGAAGGAACACCAGUGGCGAAGGCGACCACCUGGGCUCAUACUGACACUGAGGUGCGAAAGCGUGGGGAGCAAACAGGAUUAGAUACCCCUGU
This 230-nucleotide ribosomal RNA is filed under the name uncultured bacterium. Its description in RNAcentral is "partial 16S ribosomal RNA". It matches the Rfam family "Bacterial small subunit ribosomal RNA", at positions 562 to 791 of the family's 1533-position model. The record is from RNAcentral.